UACAGAGGUCCCAAGCGUUAAUCGGAAUUACUGGGCGUAAAGCGCGCGUAGACGGUUUUGUAAGUCGGAUGUGAAAUCCCCGGGCUCAACCUGGGAACUGCGUUCGAUACUGCAUGGCUAGAGUACGGUAGAGGGAAGCGGAAUUUCCGGUGUAGCGGUGAAAUGCGUAGAUAUCGGAAGGAACACCAGUGGCGAAAGCGGCUUCCUGGACCAGUACUGACGUUCAUGUGCGAAAGCGUGGGGAGCAAACAGG
This 253-nucleotide ribosomal RNA is filed under the name uncultured bacterium. RNAcentral describes it as "partial 16S ribosomal RNA". It matches the Rfam family "Bacterial small subunit ribosomal RNA", at positions 524 to 776 of the family's 1533-position model. The record is from RNAcentral.